RNAcentral lists this ribosomal RNA (427 nucleotides) under uncultured Acidobacterium sp. RNAcentral's name for it is "bacterial SSU rRNA". It matches the Rfam family "Bacterial small subunit ribosomal RNA", at positions 958 to 1385 of the family's 1533-position model. The record is from RNAcentral. Lineage: Bacteria; Pseudomonadati; Acidobacteriota; Terriglobia; Terriglobales; Acidobacteriaceae.
AACGCGAAGAACCUUACCUGGGCUCGAAAUGUAGUGGACCGGGGUAGAAAUAUCCCUUCCUAGCAAUAGGCUGCUAUAUAGGUGCUGCAUGGCUGUCGUCAGCUCGUGUCGUGAGAUGUUGGGUUAAGUCCCGCAACGAGCGCAACCCUUAUUACCAGUUGCCAUCAUUUAGUUGGGCACUCUGGUGAGACCGCCUCGGAUAACGGGGAGGAAGGUGGGGAUGACGUCAAGUCCUCAUGGCCUUUAUGUCCAGGGCUACACACGUGCUACAAUGGCCGGUACAAACCGUCGCAAACCCGUGAGGGGGAGCUAAUCGGAGAAAGCCGGCCUCAGUUCGGAUUGGAGUCUGCAACUCGACUCCAUGAAGCUGGAAUCGCUAGUAAUCGCAGAUCAGAACGCUGCGGUGAAUACGUUCCCGGGCCUUGUA